ACGAACGCUGGCGGCAUGCCUAACCCAUGCAAGUCGAACGAGACCUUCGGGUCUAGUGGCGCACGGGUGCGUAACGCGUGGGAACCUGCCCUUAGGUUCGGAAUAACUCCCCGAAAGGGGUGCUAAUACCGGAUAAUGUCUUCGGACCAAAGAUUUAUCGCCUUUGGAUGGGCCCGCGUUGGAUUAGCUAGUUGGUAGGGUAAAAGCCUACCAAGGCGACGAUCCAUAGCUGGUCUGAGAGGAUGAUCAGCCACACUGGGACUGAGACACGGCCCAGACUCCUACGGGAGGCAGCAGUGGGGAAUAUUGGACAAUGGGCGAAAGCCUGAUCCAGCAAUGCCGCGUGAGUGAUGAAGGCCUCAGGGUUGUAAAGCUCUUUUACCCGGGAUGAUAAUGACAGUACCGGGAGAAUAAGCUCCGGCUAACUCCGUG
Molecule: ribosomal RNA, 432 nt
Filed under: uncultured bacterium
Lineage: Bacteria
Description: partial 16S ribosomal RNA
Rfam family: Bacterial small subunit ribosomal RNA
Source: RNAcentral